This 253-nucleotide ribosomal RNA is filed under the name uncultured bacterium. RNAcentral describes it as "partial 16S ribosomal RNA". It matches the Rfam family "Bacterial small subunit ribosomal RNA", at positions 524 to 776 of the family's 1533-position model. The record is from RNAcentral.
UACGGAGGGUGCAAGCGUUGUCCGGAAUCACUGGGCGUAAAGGGCGCGUAGGCGGCGCGGGUAGUCAUCGGUGAAAGUUCAGGGCUCAACUCUGAAUCGGCCGGUGAUACUCCCGUGCUCGAGCACUGUAGAGGCAGGUGGAAUUCCGGGUGUAGCGGUGGAAUGCGUAGAGAUCCGGAAGAACACCGGUGGCGAAGGCGGCCUGCUGGGCAGUAGCUGACGCUGAUGCGCGACAGCGUGGGGAGCAAACAGG